UGGGAAAUUGCAAGCCUAUGACUGGCC
This 27-nucleotide non-coding RNA is filed under the name Rattus norvegicus (Norway rat). Lineage: Eukaryota; Metazoa; Chordata; Mammalia; Rodentia; Muridae. The record is from RNAcentral.